UUCACUUCAGCUUGUUAUUUCCCGUUCUGAAAGAAGUCAUGAACUUGGUACCAUUAAUGAAAAGGUGUUUCGUGGGAAGUAUUUUGGACAGGGGCAGAUUUUAGAGUGUUUUCAUGCUGAUUGGCCGUGCUUCAAUUGACCCGGAGAGAUAUUAAGUAAAAAGUGCAUUUGCUUGAGCCAUUUUAUGUGAAGAAAUUAGUGAAGAAUAACUUAUUGCUUUCCCAUGUUAAAUAGAUACUAUUAGGAUCCUAUAUUUUAAAUAAAUUCCAAUUGUUUAUUAUAUACUGGAAAAGAAAAAUCUGCUUCACUUUGUGAGUAAAGGUAAAUGGUACUGAACUGCUUCAGAAUUGCUAAUUUUUAAUGAAACUGUUCUUGUUGGCAUUACAAUGCAAAAGCUUAAUCUCAUUGGCAUUGAGGUAUUGCUAUAUAAAGUAACUGGCACUAGAAGGGGGAUAAAUAUUUGACUUCUCCCCUUCCAGCUUCUUUGUGGUAAAUUUUGUAUUAAAAAGAAACAAGCUGCAACUUCCCUAUAAUCCAGCACCUCUGGAAAAGGAUGACUUGUUAAACAAUUCCUAGGAAGGGAAAGCUGAGGCCCGCUCCUUCCCUGCUUGUUUGUAGAUGCUGGUUCCAUCCAGCAAUGGAUGCUUGGAGCUACCAGACAGCUUCUAUACUUACUGUGUAGUAAGCUUAUCUUUUCUAUGGAAAUCAGUAGAGGUGACUGGCUUCUUUAGUCUCUUGCUCUUGUGGAGGUUACAUGCCACCUUCUUAGUAGGCAGGCUUUUUUUCCCUGUGUUCUCUCUGAAAGAUCCUCUGCUUUUUGAUCUGUUUUUCCCCUCAAUACUAGCUAUGGUCAGAACUGUUCUUUUGUUCUGAUACUUGUGAAUUUCCUCUUUAACACUGAAUUCUGACUAUUCUAGAUGACAGCAUGGUGUUCAGGAGGACGACAGUGUUCAUAUCUUUUUGCACUCUUGUUCUACCAGCAUUUGCAAGAAUACCUAGUACUCCAUAGGCACUGGUAAAUUUUAACUGAACAAAUUAGAAAAAACAUUGCCCUGACCCCAAUGCCUGGCUAAGUACUUCAACCAUUGCCAUUUUGGACAUGCCUAAAAUCUGGUGAGGUGUGAAAACACUUUCUCUCUCUCUCUCUCUCUCUCUCUCUCUCUCUCUCUCUCUCACACACACACACACACACACACACACACACACACACACACACACACGGUGGGAGAUGUCAGUCUUUGCAUCUCUCACUCUCUGUUGCUCUCCAUCUGAUAACAGCUGAUCUACCUUUUUAUAUAGUUAAUUCUUCAAGUUCCUCCUCCCAGGCUUUGCCUUGGCUAUAUCAAAAUACUCAACAGUGCUUCUACCUUACACACCUCCUGUCCCUUUGAUUACUGAAGACAUUGACCUUUAGUUAUCUGAGUUUAGGCUGGAUCUUACUCCAGAGGCAUAGUUAGGACCAAGACUUCUCAUACUUUGAUGUCAUAACAAAGUCCCUGGCUUUGGCAGUUCUGAGGGACCAAGGGCUGUCAGUGAUAACAUUUAGGCUACAAAACUUGUGGCAGGGGAGGGAGAUAUCAGGCUUGCUGAGUCUAACAUAACUCAGAAAAGUUCUUGGUGAUAGAUCUAGAAAUAACCUGCUCAUUACUGUGUGCUUUGCCUGGGUUUCCCCCUCCCCCCACCUUUUUUUCACUUUUAUAAACAUAUUCUGAACCAGGAGAUUAUGAGGAAUAUGCAGUUAUCUGAGUUUUCAAGUGACCAGAGUUUGGUACCUAAAGAGAGUCACUUUCAAAUCAUUAUUCACAGCAUUUUUUUUUUUUUUGCCAGUUCAAAACACAAGGAAACUGUAACUGAAAAUCAUGGUAAUUUAUUUUUAUACAGAACUAAGUUUUAGAAAUGUGUCUGAGUAAAUACAUCAUAAAAACCUGCAAAAUGGAGCUGAGGAGCUCAGCAAUUAAAAGUGUGUGUUGUUCUCAGAAGACCUUAGUUUAGUUCACAGCACCCACGUCAGACAACUCAUAAGUGUCCAUAGUGUCUCUAGAGCAUCUAAUAUCCUCCUCUGGACUUCUUGGACCUUUGUACUUGGAUACACAUACCCUCACACAUAUGCAUAGAUUGUAAAAUAAAUAAUAAAAAUAACCAUUUAAUUAAAAAAUCCUAUAAAAUAAUGUUAGUACUUUUAAUAGUGAGAGGGAAGAAAAGAUCAAUGUUUUGGGAAAUGAGAAUAAUAGUUGUACCAAAAUACAACGGGCUUACUGCUGUAGUAUAUUUAAUUUAUUGCCAAAUUUUUGUGGUAACCAGUUUACCAGAAAAAGCGGAUAGGGUGGAGUGGGAGGGCCUAUCUGGAUUUGAUAUUUAGGAGAAUCAAUUAGAUGCCAUUUGCAGGAUGUUUCCCAUGGUACCUGACAGAAUCACAGAGAAUAAAGUAGACCUCUUUAAUGUGGUCAUAUCUCUGACAACUUUCAAGAGGAGAAAAAUGAAGAGAACAUGAUGAGGAAAAGACUCCUGAUGGAGAUUUCUCUGUGGGGCUAAGCUGUUCCAGUGGUCCAGGUUCUGGCAUAUGCCUCAAUACUUAAAUAGAGCUCAGAAGAUGAGUGGGAUCAGGGACUAACAUGUCCACUAAGCUAACUCUUUUGAUAUCCAGUGUCGGCCUGGAUUUUGUCCCAAGCAACUGGAGAGGACAGGACAGAUGGGUAUUUGAACAUGGCCCUGUAGUAGUAGAGCUCCUGAGUAGGGACUCCUAAUGCUUUGGGUCUUGAUCUCUGUAGAUCUGCUUUCAGGGUGACAUGUCUGUUUUCUUUUCUGUCCCACUUCUAAAUUGUGAUGAAAGCCUGUGUGGGGGUUUGCCCAUCCCUAACAUGGAUUCCUAGAAAGACCUUGAUACUUGGGUACAGUUAUUGGAAGAGGAUGGGUCAGGGCAGCUUCUUUUUCGCUUCCAGGUCAGCGUGAGCAACAUCUUUCAACAUGGCUUAGCUAAAAAUGGAUUACAUGAGGAGCCAGAGCAUGUGAUUGUUUCUGUGAUUGGGGCUUGAGCUUGUGUCAAAGCUGGAUAAGCAAUGCAUGGCAAGUUAGCAUGUUUGUUUGAAAGCCAUUUCCGUGCCUUGAUUUGAUUUCUCAGCCUGCAGGUAUUCAUUUAUCUACCAUGUACCUGACCCUGUAGCUAGUGACAGGUGGAGCAGUGUGCAAAGAUUAAGCCCAGGUGUGCUUCAGUGUCCUCCAUUGAUGAAAUAGGCAUGCCCUUUGGGGUUUCCUCUAAGAUCCUUGGCUGAGGGUCAGGGGAGGAUAAAGUCACUUUCUUUCUAAGAGCUGCUUGUCUUGUGGUACUUCGAGAACCCCACCAGGAUCCACCAACUGAAUCUAAGAGCUUGAAUGUAUUGAGGCUAAUGAAUUUCUCACAGAGUAUGCUCAUUUCCACUUUAAUUUCCAGAACUUUCUAGUGCAUUAUAGAACUUGAGCAGAUACCACGUCCAAAACAGAAUCUCAAUCACAUGCUGUCAUCCUUUGAGAGUCAGAGUAAUGAUUGCCGCCAAUGCUAAUGUGCUUGUCUCUACUGCCAUAAUUUUAGGGAGGCCCUAAGCCAUGUGUGCAGGCAGCUCUUGGUCAGUGAGAAGCCACCCUCUAUGAUGAAACCUGCUAUUUUUUGUCUAAAUUGAUAGUCAGAGGGCUUGGGUUUGAACCCAAGAGGGUUGAUGAACUGUGUCUCUGGAAACAUGCUCUGGCCCUUUCAUUACCACAGACACAUAUCCUCCAAGGUGCACCAAGGUGCAGAGAAUGUGUCCAAUGGCCAAAGAUGUUCAUGACAUGUUAAAUCUGUACAAUAUGUAUAUCUAGACUUAAAACCCAAAGUGACCAUAUUUGAGUCUUUGGCCAGAAAAAUAUAACCUUGAAUUGCUGCUAAAUAAUAAUUACCGAAAUUGACAUUUAUGUAGAGGUUUUUGAAAGACCAAACACCUAGGUGCAAAUUCAUGACCUAAGUUGUAGUUUGAAAACGUUGCUGAUCUGCACAUCUGAAUUCCAUUUUAUCUUCUUCAUCCUGACAUUUUCUACUAGUUUUCAUGUUUCUGCAUCCUCUUUUACCAAAACUUGCAAAUGUGUACCAAACAUGUUCUCCACUCAACACAUGCACAUAUGUGUAUUUGUGUAUUACUAAUGGAAUAUUGCCACCUCAUGGUGGGGCACAUCCAACAUUUAGAGAGGAUCUGCUAAACUGUUAUUCGUUCAAGUCUCUAGAGCCCAAAGAGGGCUUAAGGAAAUCGUUGCUCUCUUUCAUGGUGCAGAAUUUAAGGAACUAUUGGAGCCUUGAGUAGUAAGUCAGCCUAAGUCAAAGCUGGAGUACAGGUGGGCAAGUGGAGGUGCCUGCUGGUCUUCUUUGUUGAGGGGUUUAGUGGCAGGCAUUGAGGAAUCCACGGAAUAUCCUGACCUUUUGACAUCUGUUGCUCCUGUGCAGGCAGAAUAGAUCAGAGACUGCCCUCCACCAUCUUAGUGUUUUCUCAGGACUGGUUUCCCAAGGUUCAGCAAUGUGGACCCAGCAAAGAAUGCUUGAUGCUAACAACUAUGCUAUUUCCAGCCUUGUUCAUCUUUUUCUCACAUUUCUCUGCUGUAUGCACCAAUGUCUUACCAACCUACAUGCCCAAGGUCACAGAGUCCGUCUCUGUGUCCAGGAUAUGCCAUGUUCUUACACACAGAGGCAAAGGCACUGCUCAUGUCAUUGUAUGAAAUGUUACCCAUGCCCACAUCAUAGCCCAUAGAUCCUGCUCUCCCUUUCAGCCCUUUCUCUGACUCCUGGACAUGGUGGUAGAGCCUGUCUUUUACUAUUAGCCUGUUUGUUCUUUGUCACUUAUGGCAGAGAAAUCCUGAACAUAGCAACUUAAUAUAAGUGUCCCAGAGUCUGAUUUUACACUGGUGUGUGUUACAGAUGUCCAGGAGUGAAGAGGGUAGAUAAUUAAACCUGCACUAUCUUCAUGUUCGUUGAGUGACUGCGCAUUACAUGCAUACAUAUUUAGGAAGCAACGAAUAGCCAGUGUUCCUCCAGAGAGUGUGUGGACCUGAGUUCUUGGUAUUGCUUUUGUUUUGUUUUGUUUUGUUUUGCUUUGCUUUGCUUUGCUUUGCUUUGCUGUGUUUUGUUUUGUUUUGUUUUGUUUUGUUUUGUUUUGUUUUGUUUUGUUUUGUUUUGUUUUGUUUUUCCAAGGCAGGAUUUCUCUGUGAAGCCCUGGCUGUCCUGGAAUUCACUCUGUAGACCAGGCUGGCCUCGAACUCAGUGAUCUGCAUGCCUCUGCCUCCCAAGUGCUACUGAUUCAUACCAUCACAGAAGUGUUUCACAGAUUCACACCAUCGCAGAAGUAUUUCACUGUUAUUUUAGAGCCCUAUUACUUUAAAAAAUACAAUCAUAAUAAUGUACACCAUCUCUUGACUUAUUUUUUAACAUUUAAAGUAGUAAUUUGCACAUGCAGAGAACAGCCAACUCUGCUUUAUUUCCAUUACAAUCCCACCUAUGAUGGUUUGUAUAUUCUUGGGCCAGGGAGUGGUACCAUUUGGAAGUGUGACCUGGUUGGAUUAGGUGUGCCUCUGUGGGUGUGGGCUUAAGAUCCUCACCCUAGUUGCCAGGAAGUCAGUCUUCCACUAGCAGCCUUUGGAUGAAGAUGUAGAAAUCUCAGCUCUGCCCGUGCAGUGCCUGCCUGGAUGCUGCGAUGCUCCUACCUUGAUGGUAAUGGAUUGAACCUCUGAACCUGUAAGCCAGCCCCAAUUAAAUGUUUUUUAUAAGACUUGCCUUGGUCAUGGUGUCUGUUCACAGCAGUAAAACCCUAACUAAGACACCACCCAAGCCUGCCUAUAAUUUCUGCUAUCUUCCAGUACCUGAAGAUUUUGACUUAUGUCUCAAAUGUAGCCAAAGCACUGAAAACCAAAUGGCAAUAUACAUUUGUCUGAUUUUUUUCCUUUAAGAAAACAAAGGACCAUAGGAAUUUAACACCAAAUAUCCCUUAAAAAUAGAAGCCAUGUUUUCUGAGGUUGAUUUAUUCUGGAGCUUAGUCCUUACACAGAAUUCAACAAACAGCCACACUCCUGGGGCCUUGGAGGGUAUAAAAAAUCUCAUUCAUUUAGGUUUCUAAUUGUAAUGUAUACUCUGCAGAUUAUUUACUAUUAUUUAAAACACGUUCUCAUGAUGGACAGAAUAGCAUGCAUACUUGUAAUUCCACCAUUUGAGAUGCUGAGGCAGGAGAAUUAUAAGUUUGACAUCAGCCUUGACAAUAUCUGGCUAUGUUUGUCUCAAACAAACGAACAAACAAACAAGC
This 6290-nucleotide long non-coding RNA is filed under the name Mus musculus (house mouse). RNAcentral's name for it is "long non-coding RNA chr14:17662214-17668504". The record is from RNAcentral. Lineage: Eukaryota; Metazoa; Chordata; Mammalia; Rodentia; Muridae.